UGCAUUAGGGAGUAAGGUUGGGAGAUUAUGUGCAGCCUUGAUGUCCUUACAUACUCCAACCUCGUGAGAGAAUUCUAUAGUAACUUGAGAUAAGAAGCAGAGAGUAUCAAGUCUUUGGUGAAGGUCACCCUUAUAUUAUUGAGUGAGUAGAGACUAGCCAGGAUCCUUCAGAAGCCUCGAUAGAGAGUGGCUCCAAGCAAGUUUUAAAUAAAGAAGCCAGAUUGUAAUGAGU
This 232-nucleotide long non-coding RNA is filed under the name Elaeis guineensis (African oil palm). RNAcentral's name for it is "long non-coding RNA (EGUI_LNC047960)". The record is from RNAcentral. Lineage: Eukaryota; Viridiplantae; Streptophyta; Magnoliopsida; Arecales; Arecaceae.